UUUGCCGACUGCGUAAAGCUU
RNAcentral lists this non-coding RNA (21 nucleotides) under Caenorhabditis elegans. Lineage: Eukaryota; Metazoa; Nematoda; Chromadorea; Rhabditida; Rhabditidae. The record is from RNAcentral.